AAAAAAAACAAACCCUAGUUUCUGUAUCCAACAUUUGACCGCUCGUCUUAUUUGAAAAAAAUAUAAAAAAAUUAAAAAGAUAAGUCAUGCAUAAAGUAUUAAUCAUGUUUUAUCAUCUAACAACAAUGGAAAUACUAAUUAUAAAAAAAAUUCAUAUAAGACGAACAGCCAAACGUUGACACGGGAACCCACGGUUUGUCUUUUU
Non-coding RNA from Oryza glaberrima (African rice), 205 nucleotides. NCBI's taxonomy places the organism in Eukaryota, Viridiplantae, Streptophyta, Magnoliopsida, Poales, Poaceae. The record is from Rfam.